RNAcentral lists this non-coding RNA (517 nucleotides) under Staphylococcus aureus subsp. aureus 21345. RNAcentral's name for it is "RNAIII". It matches the Rfam family "RNAIII". Rfam says of the family: This family represents RNAIII which is known to regulate the expression of many Staphylococcus aureus genes encoding exoproteins and cell wall associated proteins. In S.aureus, RNAIII acts as the effector of the agr system and is transcribed from the P3 operon. The RNAIII transcript also contains the 26 amino acid delta-haemolysin gene (hld). The record is from RNAcentral. Lineage: Bacteria; Bacillati; Bacillota; Bacilli; Caryophanales; Staphylococcaceae.
UAACUAGAUCACAGAGAUGUGAUGGAAAAUAGUUGAUGAGUUGUUUAAUUUUAAGAAUUUUUAUCUUAAUUAAGGAAGGAGUGAUUUCAAUGGCACAAGAUAUCAUUUCAACAAUCGGUGACUUAGUAAAAUGGAUUAUCGACACAGUGAACAAAUUCACUAAAAAAUAAGAUGAAUAAUUAAUUACUUUCAUUGUAAAUUUGUUAUCUUCGUAUAGUACUAAAAGUAUGAGUUAUUAAGCCAUCCCAACUUAAUAACCAUGUAAAAUUAGCAAGUGAGUAACAUUUGCUAGUAGAGUUAGUUUCCUUGGACUCAGUGCUAUGUAUUUUUCUUAAUUAUCAUUACAGAUAAUUAUUUCUAGCAUGUAAGCUAUCGUAAACAACAUCGAUUUAUCAUUAUUUGAUAAAUAAAUUUUUUUUUCAUAAUUAAUAACAUCCCCAAAAAUAGAUUGAAAAAAUAACUGUAAAACAUUCCCUUAAUAAUAAGUAUGGUCGUGAGCCCCUCCCAAGCUCGCGGC